RNAcentral lists this ribosomal RNA (2068 nucleotides) under Conticribra weissflogii. RNAcentral's name for it is "partial Bacterial large subunit ribosomal RNA". It matches the Rfam family "Bacterial large subunit ribosomal RNA", at positions 421 to 2481 of the family's 2925-position model. Lineage: Eukaryota; Bacillariophyta; Thalassiosirophyceae; Thalassiosirales; Thalassiosiraceae. The record is from RNAcentral.
GACACGUGAAAUCCUGUCUGAACAUGGGGGGACCAUCCUCCAAGCCUAAGUACUCCUUAUCGACCGAUAGUGAACAAGUACCGUGAGGGAAAGGUGAAAAGCACCCCGACGAGGGGAGUGAAACAGUUCCUGAAACUGGAUGCCUACAAACAGUUGGAGCCCAAGGUUCGUCCUGGGUGACAGCGUACCUUUUGUAUAAUGGGUCAGCGACUUAUGUUCAGUGGCGAGGUUAACCGUUUAGGGGAGCCGUAGGGAAACCGAGUCUGAAUAGGGCGAUUUAGUCGCUGGGCAUAGACCCGAAACCGGGCGAUCUAUCCAUGAGCAGGUUGAAGGUUGAGUAACAUCAACUGGAGGACCGAACCCACUGUCUUUGAAAAGCCAGGGGAUGACUUGUGGAUCGGAGUGAAAGGCUAAUCAAGCCCGGAGAUAGCUGGUUCUCCCCGAAAGCUAUUUAGGUAGCGCCUCGGACGAAUACCACAGGGGGUAGAGCACUGUUUCGGCUAGGGGGUCAUCCCGACUUACCAACCCGAUGCAAACUCCGAAUACCUGUGAGUACUAUCCGGGAGACACACGGUGGGUGCUAACGUCCAUCGUGAAGAGGGAAACAACCCAGACCGCCAGCUAAGGUCCCCAAGUACCAGUUAAGUGGGAAACGAUGUGGGAAGGCUCAGACAGCUAGGAGGUUGGCUUAGAAGCAGCCAUCCUUUAAAGAAAGCGUAAUAGCUCACUAGUCGAGUCGGCCUGCGCGGAAGAUGUAACGGGGCUCAAACUGGUCACCGAAGCUGCGGCUGCAUACUUUGUAUGCGGGGUAGGGGAGCGUUCUGUAAGCCUGCGAAGGUGAGUUGAGAAGCUUGCUGGAGGUAUCAGAAGUGCGAAUGCUGACAUGAGUAACGACAAUGCGGGUGAAAAACCCGCACGCCGGAAGACCAAGGGUUCCUGCGCAACGCUAAUCGGCGCAGGGUGAGUCGGCCCCUAAGGCGAGACCGAAAGGUGUAGUCGAUGGGAAACGGAUUAAUAUUUCCGUACCUUGGAUAGCUGCGAUGGAGAGACGGAGAAGGCUAGGUGAGCCGGGCGACGGUUGUCCCGGUUUAAGCGUGUAGGGAGUGGACUUAGGCAAAUCCGGGUCCACAAUUCUGAGACGCGACGACGACUGCUCUUUGAGAGCGGGAAGUCAUUGAUGCCCUGCUUCCAGGAAAAUCUUCUAAGCUUCAGGCUAUUCGAGACCGUACCCCAAACCGACACAGGUGGUCAGGUAGAGAAUACCAAGGCGCUUGAGAGAACUCGGGUAAAGGAACUAGGCAAAAUGGUGCCGUAACUUCGGGAGAAGGCACGCUGGUGGUAGGUGAGACCCCUUGCGGGUGGAGCUGACGCCAGUCGAAGAUACCAGGCCCCUGCGACUGUUUAUUAAAAACACAGCACUGUGCAAACACGAAAGUGGACGUAUACGGUGUGACGCCUGCCCGGUGCCGGAAGGUUAAAAGGAGAUGUGAGAGCGUCGAAUUGAAGCCCCGGUGAACGGCGGCCGUAACAAUAACGGUCCUAAGGUAGCGAAAUUCCUUGUCGGGUAAGUUCCGACCUGCACGAAUGGCGUAACGACUUCCCCACUGUCUCCAGCAUCGACUCAGCGAAAUUGAAGUCCCCGUGAAGAUGCGGGGUACCCGCGGUCAGACGGAAAGACCCCGUGAACCUUUACUGCAGCUUGGCUGUGGCACCGGAAAUAAUAUGUGUAGGAUAGGUGGGAGGCUUUGAAGCAGCGGCGCCAGUCGUUGUGGAGCCAUCCUUGAAAUACCACCCUUAUUCUUUUCGUUGUCUAACCGCGUCCCUGGAUGGGACCGGGACCCAGCCUGGCGGGCAGUUUGACUGGGGCGGUCGCCUCCUAAAGAGUAACGGAGGCGCGCGAUGGUAGGCUCAAGCUGGUCGGAAAUCAGCUGUUGAGUGCAAUGGCAUAAGCCUGCCUGACUGCGAGACUGACAAGUCGAGCAGAGACGAAAGUCGGUCAUAGUGAUCCGGUGGUCCCGCAUGGAAGGGCCAUCGCUCAACGGAUAAAAGGUACGCCGGGGAUAACAGG